This 45-nucleotide non-coding RNA is filed under the name Schistosoma margrebowiei. Lineage: Eukaryota; Metazoa; Platyhelminthes; Trematoda; Strigeidida; Schistosomatidae. The record is from RNAcentral.
AUCCAGCUGACGAGUUCCAAAUAGGAUGAAUUGCAUUUCCUGGAU